GACGAACGCUGGCGGCGUGCUUAACACAUGCAUGUCGAACGGAAAGGCCCUGCUUUUGUGGGGUGCUCGAGUGGCGAACGGGUGAGUAACACGUGAGUAACCUGCCCUUGACUUUGGGAUAACUUCAGGAAACUGGGGCUAAUACCGGAUAGGAGCUCCUGCUGCAUGGUGGGGGUUGGAAAGUUUCGGCGGUUGGGGAUGGACUCGCGGCUUAUCAGCUUGUUGGUGGGGUAGUGGCUUACCAAGGCUUUGACGGGUAGCCGGCCUGAGAGGGUGACCGGCCACAUUGGGACUGAGAUACGGCCCAGACUCCUACGGGAGGCAGCAGUGGGGAAUAUUGCACAAUGGGCGGAGGCCUGAUGCAGCAACGCCGCGUGCGGGAUGACGGCCUUCGGGUUGUAGACCGCUUUCGCCUGUGACGAAGCGUGAGUGACGGUAAUGGGUAAAGAAGCACCGGCUAACUACGUG
Molecule: ribosomal RNA, 468 nt
Filed under: uncultured bacterium
Lineage: Bacteria
Description: partial 16S ribosomal RNA
Rfam family: Bacterial small subunit ribosomal RNA
Source: RNAcentral